CCUACGGGCGGCAGCAGUGGGGAAUAUUGGACAAUGGGGGGAACCCUGAUCCAGCCAUGCCGCGUGUGUGAAGAAGGCCCUCGUGUUGUAAAGCACUUUCAGUGAGGAAGAACGCCUGGUGGUUAAUACCCAUCAGGAAAGACAUCACUCACAGAAGAAGCACCGGCUAACUCCGUGCCAGCAGCCGCGGUAAUACGGAGGGUGCGAGCGUUAAUCGGAAUUACUGGGCGUAAAGCGCGCGUAGGUGGCUUGAUAAGCCGGUUGUGAAAGCCCCGGGCUCAACCUGGGAACGGCAUCCGGAACUGUCAAGCUAGAGUGCAGGAGAGGAAGGUAGAAUUCCCGGUGUAGCGGUGAAAUGCGUAGAGAUCGGGAGGAAUACCAGUGGCGAAGGCGGCCUUCUGGACUGACACUGACACUGAGGUGCGAAAGCGUGGGUAGCAAACAGGAUUAGAUACCCUUGUAGUC
This 465-nucleotide ribosomal RNA is filed under the name Vreelandella stevensii. RNAcentral describes it as "partial 16S ribosomal RNA". It matches the Rfam family "Bacterial small subunit ribosomal RNA", at positions 338 to 795 of the family's 1533-position model. The record is from RNAcentral. Lineage: Bacteria; Pseudomonadati; Pseudomonadota; Gammaproteobacteria; Oceanospirillales; Halomonadaceae.